This is a long non-coding RNA of Heterocephalus glaber (naked mole-rat), 486 nucleotides long. The record is from Ensembl. Lineage: Eukaryota; Metazoa; Chordata; Mammalia; Rodentia; Bathyergidae.
AUUCAGAUCAAGGUCAAGGAAAGAUACUACAAUGGGUCUCCUUUGCAGUAUAAGCAGCCAUUCUUGGUAAAGAAAGACCCUAUUUGGAGUUCUGGCAAGACCAAAUAGGAGAAGCAGUGCAGACUCAUGAGUUCAUAAGUACAUGCCUCCAAUGUAGGUCACAACUACUAUAUACCACUCAGAAAGCUCUUGGAACAAGCUAUUGGCCUAAAAAAACCGGGCGUCUCACCAGCUGUCAUCUAAAAAAGACAAGAUUGGUUGACUAGAUCUGACUCACUCAGGAAAUUUUAUGCAGUCCCUGAGCCCACUUACCCAGGCAGGCUCAAACCAAGGAUUGACUGAUGAAAAGUUCUCCUGGUCUUUAUAGCUCUUCCCAAGGGCUUCAAUUCAUUGGAAUCCAAGCCUAAGGCUCAGGUUCAGAUGAUUUACUGAUGGAUUGCCAAGACAACAGUUCAGCUGUGUUAUGUGAUCUGGUGCUUUGCCCAG